GGGGAACAGCCGUGUGUCUUCUCCAUCCCGAUUCAACAGGAGAGCUCCCGAUUCCGCAGGGGAGCUGAUAAUCUGCAACAAAUCCAAUCCAAUCGUGGACCACGUCUCUUGCCCACAAUCUCGUUCGUGGAAGAUAACAGUCCUGCAAAGGCAGAAGUGGUCGGAGGCAAGCUGCUGCAUCUCUAUAAAAGGGGAAGAAAAACCCAGAACAAGAGACCGAGAAAUAAACCCAUAAACGAGAGCAAAUAGCAAAGAAAAGGCAGAGCAUAAAAAAAAAUUUACAGAGAGAAGGAGAGAACAAGAAGGCAGCACACACAGUGACGAGAAUUAUCCUUGAAAUUGUCUUUGUCCCUGCAAACAAAGGAAAGACCUGGAUUCAAUCAAAGAACACUCACAGCAAAUCGGCAUCAUCUUCGUAGUUUUAAAAGCUACUGAGAAAGCAAGAAGGAAAGCACAAAAAAAGUGAUCACAGAAGGAAGACAAGGGGAAGCAGUAGGUGAGAAUCAUCAUCAGCACUGCAAGCAUCUUCGGUCUCCAGAAGCAGGUACUACUUCAUCCCCUUUGUAUCUUCAUUUCAAAAUGUAAUUGUUAGUGUUACAAGAACACUAGUGUUCGUGCAUGCGUGAACAAUUCACAAGUGAUUUUAGUUUUUGCCCAGCCGGGUCACUGGCUUGAGCGAGUGACCAGGUUGGGCUGGCUGGGUCUAGCCCAACCCAUAUAAACUGAGCUAGGCCCAACCCAAAUAU
This 746-nucleotide long non-coding RNA is filed under the name Populus tremula. RNAcentral's name for it is "long non-coding RNA (PTRE_LNC001103)". The record is from RNAcentral. Lineage: Eukaryota; Viridiplantae; Streptophyta; Magnoliopsida; Malpighiales; Salicaceae.